GCCGGGUGCGGUGGCAUGUGCCUGUAAUCCAAGUCACUGGGAGGCUGAGGUUGGUGGAUCAAGUGAGCUGAGGAGCUCUGGGCUGCAGCACGCUAUGUCGAACGGGUGUCCACGCUAAGUUCGGUAUCGAUAUGGUGUUCCUGGGGGAGCCUGGGACCACCAGGUUGUCUAAGGAGGGGUGAACCCGCCCAGGUCGGAAACGAAGCAGGUCAAAUCCCCCGUGCUGACCAGAAGUGGGGGCCACGUCCAGCACCAGAGCUGCCACCGCGGACAGAUGCCCACCCAGACCCUCCCCAAUAGGUUCAGGUUUU
Molecule: signal recognition particle RNA, 311 nt
Filed under: Oncorhynchus mykiss (rainbow trout)
Lineage: Eukaryota; Metazoa; Chordata; Actinopteri; Salmoniformes; Salmonidae
Description: Metazoan signal recognition particle RNA (ENSOMYG00000019421.2)
Rfam family: Metazoan signal recognition particle RNA
About the family: The signal recognition particle (SRP) is a universally conserved ribonucleoprotein. It is involved in the co-translational targeting of proteins to membranes.
Source: RNAcentral